RNAcentral lists this ribosomal RNA (497 nucleotides) under uncultured bacterium. Its description in RNAcentral is "partial 16S ribosomal RNA". It matches the Rfam family "Bacterial small subunit ribosomal RNA", at positions 28 to 507 of the family's 1533-position model. The record is from RNAcentral.
GACGAACGCUGGCGGCGUGCCUAAUACAUGCCAGUUGAGCGCUGAAGCCUGCUGCUUGUACCUACUGGAUGAGCCACGAACGUGUGAGUAACGCGUGGGGCAUCUGCCUUUUAGCCGGGGGCCACAUUUGGACACGAAUGCUAAUACCGCAUAAAAACUUUAAACACAAGUUUUAAGUUUGAAAGAUGCAAUUGCAUCACUCAAAUAUGAUCCCUCGUUGUAUUAGCUAGUUGGUGAGGUAAAGGCUCACCAAGGCGAUGAUACAUAGCCGCCCUGAGAGGGUUAACGGCCACAUUUAGACUGAGACACCGCCCAACAUCCAGCGGGAGGGAGCAGUAGGGAAUAUUCGGCAAUGGACGAAAGUCCGACCGAGCGACGCCGCGUGAGUGAAGAAGGUUGUCGGAUCUUAAAACUCGGUGGGGAGAGAAGAGCGUUGGUGAGGGUGUAAAGCGCAGCAAGUGACGGUAACUACUCAGAGGGGGACGGCUAACUACAGG